GGUAAUUAAAUGUGUUGGAGUCUUCUGCUUUGGUCGUUGAGGAUCACUCGAUAAGAUUCUAGUGUGGUAUUUAGGUGCCUCGCAAGUGUUUUGACGAGAAAUUCAACGAAACGAUCGGCAUAGGAUGAUGAUGACUAAAGCGCGUUGACAUAAUCACGACACCCGAAAAAUUAAAAUUUGUCCCUUUCAAGUUUUCGUGCACAGCGGUGCGGGCGAUGGCAUUUCUCGGUGCAUUUGCGUGUUAUUUAACCGCUUUUCGCUUAGAAUUGUUGUUGUCUAGCGUACGUGGUGGCACAUGAGUGGUGAAUGGAUCAUUUGGUUUGGUAGGCUCUUUGCUCACGUGCAACGAACUAUCAAGUCUUGAUCCUCUUCAUUUGAAUACCCCCGAUGCCAAGUGCACUUUGGGGGGCGGAUGGUUCCUGUAUUGGCUACCCACUAUAGAGGAAAUCGAAUGUUCAUUAAAUAUUUUUCGCCCUUUGUUCAUCUUAAGAAAAAAGGGUGAACCAAGUAGCUUUGCCCGUGUUCCAAGCAAGCAUGCCGAAAAGCUGUUGCUAUGGCACAUGGACAAUGACUUGUGCUCUCGGGUGCAGAAAGCAAUGAGGGCGGACGAAACACAUUCGUCCAUUUGCCCAAUUGUUCCUUCAAAUGAACGACGUCCGUGCUCGUGCUGAUUUGGCAUUAUCUUUGGGUAAUGACUACGGUCAGUCGGGUUUCGG
Molecule: unclassified non-coding RNA, 716 nt
Filed under: Breynia disticha
Lineage: Eukaryota; Viridiplantae; Streptophyta; Magnoliopsida; Malpighiales; Phyllanthaceae
Description: partial external transcribed spacer
Source: RNAcentral